GAUGAACGCUGGCGGCGUGCCUAAUACAUGCAAGUCGAGCGAACGGACGAGAAGCUUGCUUCUCUGAUGUUAGCGGCGGACGGGUGAGUAACACGUGGAUAACCUACCUAUAAGACUGGGAUAACUUCGGGAAACCGGAGCUAAUACCGGAUGAUAUUCUGAACCGUAUGGUUCAAAAGUGAAAGACGGUCUUGCUGUCACUUAUAGAUGGAUCCGCGCUGCAUUAGCUAGUUGGUAAGGUAACGGCUUACCAAGGCAACGAUGCAUAGCCGACCUGAGAGGGUGAUCGGCCACACUGGAACUGAGACACGGUCCAGACUCCUACGGGAGGCAGCAGUAGGGAAUCUUCCGCAAUGGGCGAAAGCCUGACGGAGCAACGCCGCGUGAGUGAUGAAGGUCUUCGGAUCGUAAAACUCUGUUAUUAGGGAAGAACAUAUGUGUAAGUAACUGUGCACAUCUUGACGGUACCUAAUCAGAAAGCCACGGCUAACUACGUG
RNAcentral lists this ribosomal RNA (497 nucleotides) under uncultured bacterium. RNAcentral describes it as "partial 16S ribosomal RNA". It matches the Rfam family "Bacterial small subunit ribosomal RNA", at positions 28 to 507 of the family's 1533-position model. The record is from RNAcentral.